AGUGUAUUAGGCAGUUUAGGAGA
RNAcentral lists this non-coding RNA (23 nucleotides) under Arabidopsis thaliana (thale cress). Lineage: Eukaryota; Viridiplantae; Streptophyta; Magnoliopsida; Brassicales; Brassicaceae. The record is from RNAcentral.